CGCAGGUUGGAGAAGUGGUAUCUUGUUACUCUCAUAAAGUAAAGGACGGUGGUUCGAGUCCAUCACCUGCAA
RNAcentral lists this transfer RNA (72 nucleotides) under Prevotella vespertina. RNAcentral describes it as "Prevotella sp. A2879 tRNA-Met". It matches the Rfam family "tRNA". Rfam says of the family: Transfer RNA (tRNA) molecules are approximately 80 nucleotides in length. Their secondary structure includes four short double-helical elements and three loops (D, anti-codon, and T loops). Further hydrogen bonds mediate the characteristic L-shaped molecular structure. tRNAs have two regions of fundamental functional importance: the anti-codon, which is responsible for specific mRNA codon recognition, and the 3' end, to which the tRNAs corresponding amino acid is attached (by aminoacyl-tRNA synthetases). tRNAs cope with the degeneracy of the genetic code in two manners: having more than one tRNA (with a specific anti-codon) for a particular amino acid; and 'wobble' base-pairing, i.e. permitting non-standard base-pairing at the 3rd anti-codon position. Lineage: Bacteria; Pseudomonadati; Bacteroidota; Bacteroidia; Bacteroidales; Prevotellaceae. The record is from RNAcentral.